Molecule: ribosomal RNA, 2900 nt
Filed under: Klebsiella pneumoniae
Lineage: Bacteria; Pseudomonadati; Pseudomonadota; Gammaproteobacteria; Enterobacterales; Enterobacteriaceae
Description: bacterial LSU rRNA
Rfam family: Bacterial large subunit ribosomal RNA
Source: RNAcentral
UUAAGCGACUAAGCGUACACGGUGGAUGCCCUGGCAGUCAGAGGCGAUGAAGGACGUGCUAAUCUGCGAAAAGCGUCGGUAAGGUGAUAUGAACCGUUAUAACCGGCGAUGUCCGAAUGGGGAAACCCAGUGCAAUUCGUUGCACUAUCGUUAACUGAAUACAUAGGUUAACGAGGCGAACCGGGGGAACUGAAACAUCUAAGUACCCCGAGGAAAAGAAAUCAACCGAGAUUCCCCCAGUAGCGGCGAGCGAACGGGGAGCAGCCCAGAGUCUGAAUCAGCUUGUGUGUUAGUGGAACGGUCUGGAAAGUCCGACGGUACAGGGUGAUAGUCCCGUACACCAAAAUGCACAGGCUGUGAACUCGAAGAGUAGGGCGGGACACGUGGUAUCCUGUCUGAAUAUGGGGGGACCAUCCUCCAAGGCUAAAUACUCCUGACUGACCGAUAGUGAACCAGUACCGUGAGGGAAAGGCGAAAAGAACCCCGGCGAGGGGAGUGAAAAAGAACCUGAAACCGUGUACGUACAAGCAGUGGGAGCACCUUCGGGUGUGACUGCGUACCUUUUGUAUAAUGGGUCAGCGACUUAUAUUCUGUAGCAAGGUUAACCGUAUAGGGGAGCCGCAGGGAAACCGAGUCUUAACUGGGCGUUAAGUUGCAGGGUAUAGACCCGAAACCCGGUGAUCUAGCCAUGGGCAGGUUGAAGGUUGGGUAACACUAACUGGAGGACCGAACCGACUAAUGUUGAAAAAUUAGCGGAUGACUUGUGGCUGGGGGUGAAAGGCCAAUCAAACCGGGAGAUAGCUGGUUCUCCCCGAAAGCUAUUUAGGUAGCGCCUCGUGAACUCAUCUUCGGGGGUAGAGCACUGUUUCGGCUAGGGGGUCAUCCCGACUUACCAACCCGAUGCAAACUACGAAUACCGAAGAAUGUUAUCACGGGAGACACACGGCGGGUGCUAACGUCCGUCGUGAAGAGGGAAACAACCCAGACCGCCAGCUAAGGUCCCAAAGUCAUGGUUAAGUGGGAAACGAUGUGGGAAGGCACAGACAGCCAGGAUGUUGGCUUAGAAGCAGCCAUCAUUUAAAGAAAGCGUAAUAGCUCACUGGUCGAGUCGGCCUGCGCGGAAGAUGUAACGGGGCUAAACCAUGCACCGAAGCUGCGGCAGCGACACUAUGUGUUGUUGGGUAGGGGAGCGUUCUGUAAGCCUGCGAAGGUGUGCUGUGAGGCAUGCUGGAGGUAUCAGAAGUGCGAAUGCUGACAUAAGUAACGAUAAAGCGGGUGAAAAGCCCGCUCGCCGGAAGACCAAGGGUUCCUGUCCAACGUUAAUCGGGGCAGGGUGAGUCGACCCCUAAGGCGAGGCCGAAAGGCGUAGUCGAUGGGAAACAGGUUAAUAUUCCUGUACUUGGUGUUACUGCGAAGGGGGGACGGAGAAGGCUAUGUUAGCCGGGCGACGGUUGUCCCGGUUUAAGCAUGUAGGCUGGUUAUCCAGGCAAAUCCGGAUAAUCAAGGCUGAGGUGUGAUGACGAGGCACUACGGUGCUGAAGUAACAAAUGCCCUGCUUCCAGGAAAAGCCUCUAAGCAUCAGGUAACAUUAAAUCGUACCCCAAACCGACACAGGUGGUCAGGUAGAGAAUACCAAGGCGCUUGAGAGAACUCGGGUGAAGGAACUAGGCAAAAUGGUGCCGUAACUUCGGGAGAAGGCACGCUGGUGUGUAGGUGAAGCCCCUGCGGGUGGAGCUGAGACCAGUCGAAGAUACCAGCUGGCUGCAACUGUUUAUUAAAAACACAGCACUGUGCAAACACGAAAGUGGACGUAUACGGUGUGACGCCUGCCCGGUGCCGGAAGGUUAAUUGAUGGGGUUAUCCGUAAGGAGAAGCUCUUGAUCGAAGCCCCGGUAAACGGCGGCCGUAACUAUAACGGUCCUAAGGUAGCGAAAUUCCUUGUCGGGUAAGUUCCGACCUGCACGAAUGGCGUAAUGAUGGCCAGGCUGUCUCCACCCGAGACUCAGUGAAAUUGAACUCGCUGUGAAGAUGCAGUGUACCCGCGGCAAGACGGAAAGACCCCGUGAACCUUUACUAUAGCUUGACACUGAACAUUGAGCCUUGAUGUGUAGGAUAGGUGGGAGGCUUUGAAGCGUGGACGCCAGUCUGCGUGGAGCCAACCUUGAAAUACCACCCUUUAAUGUUUGAUGUUCUAACGUUGGCCCCUUACCGGGGUUGCGGACAGUGUCUGGUGGGUAGUUUGACUGGGGCGGUCUCCUCCCAAAGCGUAACGGAGGAGCACGAAGGUUAGCUAAUCCUGGUCGGACAUCAGGAGGUUAGUGCAAUGGCAUAAGCUAGCUUGACUGCGAGCGUGACGGCGCGAGCAGGUGCGAAAGCAGGUCAUAGUGAUCCGGUGGUUCUGAAUGGAAGGGCCAUCGCUCAACGGAUAAAAGGUACUCCGGGGAUAACAGGCUGAUACCGCCCAAGAGUUCAUAUCGACGGCGGUGUUUGGCACCUCGAUGUCGGCUCAUCACAUCCUGGGGCUGAAGUAGGUCCCAAGGGUAUGGCUGUUCGCCAUUUAAAGUGGUACGCGAGCUGGGUUUAGAACGUCGUGAGACAGUUCGGUCCCUAUCUGCCGUGGGCGCUGGAGAAUUGAGGGGGGCUGCUCCUAGUACGAGAGGACCGGAGUGGACGCAUCACUGGUGUUCGGGUUGUCAUGCCAAUGGCACUGCCCGGUAGCUAAAUGCGGAAGAGAUAAGUGCUGAAAGCAUCUAAGCACGAAACUUGCCCCGAGAUGAGUUCUCCCUGAGACUUUAAGUCUCCUGAAGGAACGUUAAAGACGAUGACGUUGAUAGGCCGGGUGUGUAAGCGCAGCGAUGCGUUGAGCUAACCGGUACUAAUGAACCGUGAGGCUUAACCUU